Molecule: ribosomal RNA, 442 nt
Filed under: uncultured bacterium
Lineage: Bacteria
Description: partial 16S ribosomal RNA
Rfam family: Bacterial small subunit ribosomal RNA
Source: RNAcentral
CCUACGGGUGGCAGCAGUGGGGAAUAUUGGGCAAUGGGCGCAAGCCUGAACCAGCAAUGCCGCGUGAAGGAAGAAGGCUUUCGGGUUGUAAAAUUCUUUGACAGGGGAAGAGCAGACGACGGUGCCCUGCAAACAAGCCAUGGCUAACUACGUGCCAGCAGCCGCGGUAAUACGUAGGUGGCAAGCGUUGUGCGGAUUUACAGGGUGUAAAGGGCGUGUAGCCGGGAAGGCAAGUCAGAUGUGAAAGCCGGAGGCUCAACCUCCGAAUUGCAGUUGAAACUGUUUGUCGUGAGUGCUGGAGAGGCAGGCGGAAUUCCUUGUGUAGCGGUGAAAUGCGUAGAUAUAAGGAGGAACACCAGUGGCGAAGGCGGUCUGCUGGACAGCAACUGACGGUGAGGCGCGAAAGCGUGGGGAGCAAACAGGAUUAGAUACCCUAGUAGUC